UACGUAGGGGGCAAGCGUUGUCCGGAUUUAUUGGGCGUAAAGAGCGUGUAGGCGGCCAAACAGGUCAGCUGUGAAACUCGAGGCUCAACCUCGAGACGUCGGUUGAAACCGUUUGGCUAGAGUCCGGAAGAGGAGAGUGGAAUUCCCGGUGUAGCGGUGAAAUGACGCAGAUAUCGGGAAGAACACCCGUGGCGAAGGCGGCUCUCUGGGACGGUACUGACGCUGAGACGGCGAAAGCGUGGGGAGCGAACAGG
Molecule: ribosomal RNA, 254 nt
Filed under: uncultured bacterium
Lineage: Bacteria
Description: partial 16S ribosomal RNA
Rfam family: Bacterial small subunit ribosomal RNA
Source: RNAcentral